This 245-nucleotide ribosomal RNA is filed under the name uncultured bacterium. RNAcentral's name for it is "partial small subunit ribosomal RNA". It matches the Rfam family "Bacterial small subunit ribosomal RNA", at positions 26 to 286 of the family's 1533-position model. The record is from RNAcentral.
AGAAUCAACGCUGGCGGCGUGCCUAACACAUGCAAGUCGAACGAGAAAGUGGAGCAAUCCAUGAGUAAAGUGGCGCACGGGUGAGUAACACGUGACUAACCUACCCUUGAGUGGGGAAUAACCUCGGGAAACCGGGCUAAUACCGCAUAACCACCUACGGGUCAAAGGAGCAAUUCGCUUAAGGAGGGGGUCGCGGCAGAUUAGUUAGUUGGCGGGGUAAUGGCCCACAAGACGGUGAUCUGUAU